CCGCUGGAGCCCCAGGCAGCUGCCUGGACUGGCCGGAGAGCACCCUACCCCGCUACUGGGAAGACCUGCCGGAGCUUCCCCACGCCACCUACGACGAGGAGCCAGUAGGAGCUUCCCCGCUACCGCGCUGUUACCCCGAGGAACCCCCGGAGCACGAUUGGCCGGACUUCCCCGGGGAACUACCCGAUCUACCCCCAAGCCCGGGUUGUGAGGAGCCCAUGCAGUGGGACUUCCCGGGACCAGAUGCCGUGGACCAGUUACAGUAAAACUCAAAAGACUCUCCACAUGACUGGCUAGGAACAAGGCCAGAGGGACCUCUAUCAUCCGGAUACAAGUUAUGCCAUUAUGAAAUAAUGAAACAAGUGUACUGCCUUUUGAAACCGUUGGUUUAUACAACGUCUGGUAGCUGGAGUGGAGAAAAAAGUCUGCAAGCACAGAAGAGUUUCAGCAUGGACGUCAUUAUGUACUUUCUAGUACUUCACCACAUAAAGGUCCAGACUGUGCCUCAAAGCCACAGCCUGCGCUGGAGGGUAGGAUGGUAUUGAGUCAGCCAGAUUUCCUGCUGGGGUGCGAAUACAACAGUGGCAGAUCUGCCACUCCAGGAGACGGUGCAGCAUGCACUCUGCUCUACCCCUGCAACUUUAUAAACUGAUGUGAAGAAAGGGUGGGGCCAAGGCUUCAUUCUCAUCCUGCCCCUCCUGGGGAGGUUAUGAUACUAGCACCAAGUAUGUAUUUUGCAGCUACACUAUAGCUGGCUCCUAUACAGGAACUGAAUGUGGGGGAAGACAGUUAUGCAGGCUCAGCAAAGAGGCCGAAGACCAAAUGGACCACGCAGACUGAACUACCCUCUUGCCUUAGAGAUUUCCCUUCCAGGUGAGGGUAGAAAAACACUGGCAUUUGUGCAGCAGUGUUGGAAGCUAGCAUUACUGUUGUGUCUGUCCUGUGGUUGAGUAGUGGACUUCAGUUUUUGUGGCUGCCCAUCUGAAUCAAUUCACUCAGCAAUAAAUGCAUGCAAAUUUUUAUUAAAAAAAUUAAAAACUGGAAAUGUGUAAUAAGUGUUGUAGCACUGAUCAAACAACCAGGAAAUUCUGGGCCAGAUCCUCAGCUGGUAUAAAUUAGCGUAGUUCCACUGUCAUCAAGGUUCUCAAGAUUCGGUUUAAGCUUCACUAUUGGGUUUUGAUUUUUUUUCCUGCUGAACUG
Long non-coding RNA from Mauremys reevesii (Reeves's turtle), 1200 nucleotides. RefSeq lists it as uncharacterized. The record is from RefSeq and is a predicted model, not a curated record. The transcript is spliced from 3 exons. Lineage: Eukaryota; Metazoa; Chordata; Testudines; Geoemydidae.